RNAcentral lists this long non-coding RNA (293 nucleotides) under Cricetulus griseus (Chinese hamster). RNAcentral describes it as "lncRNA (ENSCGRG00015030907.1)". The record is from RNAcentral. Lineage: Eukaryota; Metazoa; Chordata; Mammalia; Rodentia; Cricetidae.
UGCUGCCUCCAGCACAGUCCCGAAACUGGUGCGUUCCAGCGCAAUCCUGCCCAGGCCAGGUUGCUGCCCUGGGGCAUUCCACAGCUGGUUUGAUCUGGUUGGGCCUGAGCACCGGGCUGAAGGUGUACCCCUUAAAAGGGGCCCGUGAUGGGCUGGAGAGAUGGCUCAGAGGUUAAGAGCACUGGCUGUUCUUCCAGAGGUCCUGAGUUCAAUUAGCAGCAACCACGUGGUGGCUCACAACCAUCCGUUAUGAGAUCUGGUGCCCUCUUCUGGUGUGCAGAUAUACAUGGAAG